UGGGGAAUAUUGGACAAUGGGGGGAACCCUGAUCCAGCCAUGCCGCGUGUGUGAAGAAGGCCGUAUGGUUGUAAAGCACUUUAAGCGAGGAGGAGGGUACUGGUAGUAAUACUACUAGCUACUGGACGUUACUCGCAGAAUAAGCACCGGCGAACUCUGUGCCAGCAGCCGCGGUAAUACAGAGGGUGCGAGCGUUAAUCGGAUUUACUGGGCGUAAAGCGUGCGUAGGCGGCUAAUUGAGUCGGAUGUGAAAUCCCCGAGCUUAACUUUGAAAUUGCAUUCGAUACUGGUUAGCUAGAGUGUGGGCGAGGAUUGUAGAAUUCCAGGUGUAGCGGUGCAAUGCGUAUAGCUCUGGAGGAAUACCGAUGGCGAAGUCAGCCAUCUGGCCUAACACUGACGCUGAGGUACGAAAGCAUGGGGAGCAAACCGG
RNAcentral lists this ribosomal RNA (430 nucleotides) under Pseudomonadota bacterium. Its description in RNAcentral is "Proteobacteria bacterium partial 16S ribosomal RNA". It matches the Rfam family "Bacterial small subunit ribosomal RNA", at positions 355 to 776 of the family's 1533-position model. Lineage: Bacteria; Pseudomonadati; Pseudomonadota. The record is from RNAcentral.